Molecule: long non-coding RNA, 499 nt
Filed under: Equus caballus (horse)
Lineage: Eukaryota; Metazoa; Chordata; Mammalia; Perissodactyla; Equidae
Description: lncRNA (ENSECAG00000058024.1)
Source: RNAcentral
AAAACAGGCCACAGGGCCCGUAUCUAUGGGACAUUACAUAACUCUAUCCUGUUCACAUCUCCAUUACUCUUCUCUCCUCUCCCCAAGUCAGCCUAAGAAGAUGUCUUCUACUUGAGUGUCAAGGAAGCCCCCUAUCCUUCAAGGUGCUUCUUUUCAAUGUCCUAUCCAUGCCCAAUACCCAAAGUAGCUCUAUUAUCCUGAGAAGAAGAAGCCAGGAAGAACCUUUCUGCUCUGCUUUUCAACCUGUCAUGAACUUCCCCUAAGGAAAUAAGCACAGAGGAUGAUCUUACUUGAAGGGAGAAGGAGAGUGCCAGCCAGAGAAAAGCAGGAGAUAUAGGCUCCCACUUGUACUAGCAGCCACUUUGUGACUCAAGGCAGAGAUAAUCAACACGUGGAGAAUGAUACCGAAAUAGACUGGGAGGCCUGAUCAUCUCAUGUCCUCAACAAUUCCUCUCUGGACUUUCAGCUGCACAAACCAACAAAUUCACUUAUUUUAAAC